GUCCACGCUGUAAACUAUGUGUGCUUGACGUCAGAGGGCAUAGCCCCCUGGUGUCGGAGCUAACGCGGUAAGCACACCGCCUGGGGAGUACGGUCGCAAGAUUAAAACUCAAAGGAAUUGACGGGGGCCCGCACAAGCGGUGGAGCAUGUGGUUCAAUUCGAUGCAACGCGCAGAACCUUACCAGCCCUUGACAUGGGAAGUUUGGAACGGAGAGAUCUGUUCCUUCAGUUCGGCUGGCUUCCACACAGGUGCUGCAUGGCUGUCGU
Molecule: ribosomal RNA, 267 nt
Filed under: uncultured bacterium
Lineage: Bacteria
Description: partial 16S ribosomal RNA
Rfam family: Bacterial small subunit ribosomal RNA
Source: RNAcentral